This 30-nucleotide non-coding RNA is filed under the name Mus musculus (house mouse). The record is from RNAcentral. Lineage: Eukaryota; Metazoa; Chordata; Mammalia; Rodentia; Muridae.
UUCCUUUCAGCUUUGUCUAGGUGUUUGACA